RNAcentral lists this long non-coding RNA (355 nucleotides) under Elaeis guineensis (African oil palm). RNAcentral describes it as "long non-coding RNA (EGUI_LNC079588)". The record is from RNAcentral. Lineage: Eukaryota; Viridiplantae; Streptophyta; Magnoliopsida; Arecales; Arecaceae.
GCCCGGAAGAGAGAAAUGCGAGGGUUGGUCGGCAAGAGCUGACACAACAACGCAAAACUGAUUAUGAGACGGACGGAGUUCGGCGCUAGUUGCGCCGGACAGAGUCCGUAAUAGUUCAGAAGAUUCCGGACGAACUCCGGAAUCGGGAGCCGAAGACCCGCGCGAAGGUCCUCGACAUACAGCGCCAGCUGGCCGGGCGGAGGGCUGUUAACCCGACCGCCGGCCCCUGGGGUGGACAGUUGAAACUGCUCCGGGAUGCAAUACUGCUCCCGAAGCCGAUCAACAUUCGGCCCCGAAAGCGAGGAAACCUCAACUUUCGGAGUCGACCGGGAGUCGUCAGUCGGAUUUUCCGACC